GGACGAAAGUCUGAGGCAGCAACACCGCGUGGAGGAUGAAGGCCUUCGGGUUGUAAACUCCUUUUCUGGGGGAAGAGAUAGGACGGUACCCCAGGAAUAAGUCUCGGCUAACUAUGUGCCAGCAGCCGCGGUAAAACGUAGGAGGCGAGCGUUAUCCGGAUUUACUGGGCGUAAAGCGCAUGCAGGCGGUUUUCUAAGUCGGACGUGAAAGCUCUCGGCUCAACUGGGAGAGGCCGUUCGAAACUAGAAAACUUGAGGAUGGUAGAGGAGAGUGGAAUUCCCGGUGUAGUGGUGAAAUGCGUAGAUAUCGGGAGGAACACCAGUGGCGAAGGCGGCUCUCUGGGCCAUUCCUGACGCUCAGAUGCGAAAGCUAGGGGAGAGAACGGGAUUAGAAACCCCGGUAUUCCUAGCCGUAAACGAUGUCAACUAGGCGUAGGAGGUUAUUGACCCCUUCUGUGCUGUAGCUAACGCAUUAAGUUGACCGCCUGGGGACUACGGCCGCAAGGCUA
This 509-nucleotide ribosomal RNA is filed under the name uncultured Chloroflexota bacterium. RNAcentral's name for it is "bacterial SSU rRNA". It matches the Rfam family "Bacterial small subunit ribosomal RNA", at positions 373 to 896 of the family's 1533-position model. The record is from RNAcentral. Lineage: Bacteria; Bacillati; Chloroflexota.